UACGAAGGAUCCAAGCGUUGUCCGGAUUUACUGGGUUUAAAGGGUGCGUAGGCGGAAUAUUAAGUCAGUGGUGAAAGCUGGUAGCUCAACUAUCAAAUUGCCAUUGAAACUGAUAUUCUCGAGUACGGUUGAGGUAGCUGGAAUGUAACAUGUAGCGGUGAAAUGCUUAGAUAUGUUACAGAACACCAAUUGCGAAGGCA
RNAcentral lists this ribosomal RNA (200 nucleotides) under uncultured bacterium. RNAcentral's name for it is "partial 16S ribosomal RNA". It matches the Rfam family "Bacterial small subunit ribosomal RNA", at positions 524 to 723 of the family's 1533-position model. The record is from RNAcentral.